UUAUGGCUCAGGAUGAACGCUGGCGGCGCGCCUAACACAUGCAAGUCGAACGGUUAAAGCCCCUUCGGGGGUGCAUAAAGUGGCGAACGGCUGAGUAACACGUGGGCAACCUGCCCCCCGCUUCGGGAUAGCCUCGGGAAACCGUGGGUAAUACCGGAUACUCCGCCCACCCCGCAUGGGGAGGGCGGGAAAGCGCAUACGGCGGGGGAUGGGCCCGCGGCCUGUUAGCUCGUUGGCGGGGUAACGGCCCACCAAGGCUAUUAUGGGUAGCCGGGUUGAGAGACCGACCGGCCAGAUUGGGACUGAGACACGGCCCAGACUCCUACGGGAGGCAGCAGUGGGGAAUCUUGCACAAUGGGCGAAAGCCUGAUGCCAGCGACGCCGCGUGCGGGAUGAAGGCCCUCGGGUUGUAAACCGCUUUCAGCAGGGACGAGGCGCAAGUGACGGUACCUGCAGAAGAAGCCCCGGCUAACUACGUGCCAGCCGCGGC
RNAcentral lists this ribosomal RNA (490 nucleotides) under uncultured bacterium. Its description in RNAcentral is "bacterial SSU rRNA". It matches the Rfam family "Bacterial small subunit ribosomal RNA", at positions 17 to 518 of the family's 1533-position model. The record is from RNAcentral.